This 440-nucleotide ribosomal RNA is filed under the name uncultured bacterium. Its description in RNAcentral is "partial 16S ribosomal RNA". It matches the Rfam family "Bacterial small subunit ribosomal RNA", at positions 338 to 795 of the family's 1533-position model. The record is from RNAcentral.
CCUACGGGCGGCAGCAGUGGGGAAUAUUGCACAAUGGGGGAAACCCUGAUGCAGCGACGCCGCGUGAGUGAAGAAGUAUCUCGGUACGUAAAGCUCUAUCAGCAGGAAAGAAAAUGACGGUACCUGACUAAGAAGCCCCGGCUAACUACGUGCCAGCAGCCGCGGUAAUACGUAGGGGGCAAGCGUUAUCCGGAUUUACUGGGUGUAAAGGGAGCGUAGACGGCGCUGCAAGUCCGGAGUGAAAGCCUAUGGCUUAACCAUGGUACUGCUCUGGAAACUGUAGCGCUUGAGUGCGGGAGGGGCAGGCGGAAUUCCUAGUGUAGCGGUGAAAUGCGUAGAUAUUAGGAGGAACACCGGCGGCGAAGGCGGCCUGCUGGACCGUAACUGACGUUGAGGCUCGAAAGCGUGGGGAGCAAACAGGAUUAGAUACCCCGGUAGUC